Molecule: ribosomal RNA, 440 nt
Filed under: uncultured bacterium
Lineage: Bacteria
Description: partial 16S ribosomal RNA
Rfam family: Bacterial small subunit ribosomal RNA
Source: RNAcentral
CCUACGGGAGGCAGCAGUGGGGGAUAUUGCACAAUGGGGGGAACCCUGAUGCAGCGACGCCGCGUGGGUGAAGAAGCGCCUCGGCGCGUAAAGCCCUGUCAGCAGGGAAGAAAAUGACGGUACCUGACGAAGAAGCCCCGGCUAACUACGUGCCAGCAGCCGCGGUAAUACGUAGGGGGCAAGCGUUAUCCGGAUUUACUGGGGGUAAAGGGGGCGCAGACGGCGAUGCAAGCCAGUAGUGAAAGCCCGGGGCCCAACCCCGGGACUGCUCUUGGAACUGCGUGGCGGGAGUGCAGGAGGGGCAGGCGGAAUUCCUGGUGUAGCGGUGAAAUGCGUAGAUAUCAGGAGGAACACCGGUGGCGAAGUCGGCCUGCUGGACUGCAACUGACGUUGAGGCCCGAAAGCGUGGGGAGCAAACAGGAUUAGAUACCCGAGUAGUC